UACGUAGGGUGCAAGCGUUGUCCGGAAUUAUUGGGCGUAAAGAGCUCGUAGGCGGUUUGUCGCGUCUGCUGUGAAAACUGGGGGCUCAACCCCCAGCCUGCAGUGGGUACGGGCAGACUAGAGUGCGGUAGGGGAGAUUGGAAUUCCUGGUGUAGCGGUGGAAUGCGCAGAUAUCAGGAGGAACACCGAUGGCGAAGGCAGAUCUCUGGGCCGUAACUGACGCUGAGGAGCGAAAGCAUGGGGAGCGAACAGG
Molecule: ribosomal RNA, 253 nt
Filed under: uncultured bacterium
Lineage: Bacteria
Description: partial 16S ribosomal RNA
Rfam family: Bacterial small subunit ribosomal RNA
Source: RNAcentral